GACGAACGCUGGCGGCGUGCUUAACACAUGCAAGUCGAACGGAAAGGCCCUGCUUUUGUGGGGUGCUCGAGUGGCGAACGGGUGCGUAACACGUGAGUAACCUGCCCUUGACUUUGGGAUAACUUCAGGAAACUGGGGCUAAUACCGGAUAGGAGCUCCUGCUGCAUGGUGGGGGUUGGAAAGUUUCGGCGGUUGGGGAUGGACUCGCGGCUUAUCAGCUUGUUGGUGGGGUAGUGGCUUACCAAGGCUUUGACGGGUAGCCGGCCUGAGAGGGUGACAGGCCACAUUGGGACUGAGAUACGGCCCAGACUCCUACGGGAGGCAGCAGUGGGGAAUAUUGCACAAUGGGCGGAAGCCUGAUGCAGCAACGCCGCGUGCGGGAUGACGGCCUUCGGGUUGUAAACCGCUUUCGCCUGUGACGAAGCGUGAGUGACGGUAAUGGGUAAAGAAGCACCGGCUAACUACGUG
This 468-nucleotide ribosomal RNA is filed under the name uncultured bacterium. RNAcentral's name for it is "partial 16S ribosomal RNA". It matches the Rfam family "Bacterial small subunit ribosomal RNA", at positions 28 to 507 of the family's 1533-position model. The record is from RNAcentral.